This 77-nucleotide transfer RNA is filed under the name Felis catus (domestic cat). It matches the Rfam family "tRNA". Rfam says of the family: Transfer RNA (tRNA) molecules are approximately 80 nucleotides in length. Their secondary structure includes four short double-helical elements and three loops (D, anti-codon, and T loops). Further hydrogen bonds mediate the characteristic L-shaped molecular structure. tRNAs have two regions of fundamental functional importance: the anti-codon, which is responsible for specific mRNA codon recognition, and the 3' end, to which the tRNAs corresponding amino acid is attached (by aminoacyl-tRNA synthetases). tRNAs cope with the degeneracy of the genetic code in two manners: having more than one tRNA (with a specific anti-codon) for a particular amino acid; and 'wobble' base-pairing, i.e. permitting non-standard base-pairing at the 3rd anti-codon position. RNAcentral also lists the same sequence under 5 other names. Lineage: Eukaryota; Metazoa; Chordata; Mammalia; Carnivora; Felidae. The record is from Rfam by way of RNAcentral.
ACCUGGCUGGCUCAGUUAGUUGGUAGAGCAUGUGACUCAUGAUCUUGGGGUCAUGAGUUCGAGCCCCAUGUUGGGUA